This 323-nucleotide unclassified non-coding RNA is filed under the name soil metagenome. RNAcentral describes it as "partial contains 5.8S ribosomal RNA, internal transcribed spacer 2, and large subunit ribosomal RNA". The stretch from base 1 to 120 matches the Rfam family "5.8S ribosomal RNA", at positions 35 to 154 of the family's 154-position model. The record is from RNAcentral.
GAUGAAGAACGUAGUGAAAUGCGAUAAGUAAUGCGAAUUGCAGAAUUCAGUGAGUCAUCGAAUCUUUGAACGCACAUUGCGCCCUGUGGUAUUCCGCAGGGCAUGCCUGUUCGAGCGUCAUUUCAACCCUCAAGCUCCGCUUGGUGUUGGGCCCUGCCCCCGCGGCCGGCCCCAAAGACAGUGGCGGCGCCGCUCGGCCCUAAGCGUAGUACAUCUCUCGCUCUAGGACCCGGCGGUGGCCUGCCAGAACCCCCAACUCAUGUGGUUGACCUCGGAUCAGGUAGGGAUACCCGCUGAACUUAAGCAUAUCAAUAAGCGGAGGA